Molecule: long non-coding RNA, 3160 nt
Organism: Tympanuchus pallidicinctus (lesser prairie-chicken)
Lineage: Eukaryota; Metazoa; Chordata; Aves; Galliformes; Phasianidae
Exons: 3
Source: RefSeq, a predicted model, not a curated record
CACUGCAGAGGCAACAAGCUCCACCUGGGCCCACUCAUCUCCUUACCACUCUCAGCUGCAGGAGAGCAAUGUUGUAAACCGUGAUUUCUGUCUCAACUAGAAUAGCUGGUAAAAACUUGGGGUAAUCCUGGAAGAAGCUGUACCUUAAGGACUGGAAAGCAUGGGCACCAGGAAAAGAGCACUGAUUCACAGCACUAUUGACUAGGAAAGGAAUCUUUUGCAUCACAGUGACCAUUCUGUAGGCAUAAGGGAUUAAUAAAUUUUUGACUAAUGAUACAAUCUUCUAUUGUGUACUUAUUGCCUGGGCACAAGCAGGAUCUAUGACAAAUACUACUCCAGAAAACUUCUUAGCAAUACUUAAUUCUUGUUUAGAAAGAGUAAACACACUCGGAGACGUAUGAGUCACUUAUGAGAAGAUACAUAGUUUUAAAAGCACUUGAAAGAGUUGGAAAUCACUGAGGUAACAGAGAUAAAAAAUAUAUCUCCAGUUUUUGGUAUCGUCUAAACAUCAUAGCUGCAUUAUAACUAAGUUAUAUGUCACAAACAAACUGAUGGAUAACAGAAUAAGCGAAAAACUCCAGUCACAGCAAGAGGGGAAUACAGAACUGAGGAUGUUAAUUCAUCAUUCAGUGCUGUUUAAUGACUCAUAUUUCACCCCAUGAUACUUAAUCACAAUGAAAUGCUGCAAAGAUGCACUGAAAAAAGUGGGAUAAUAGCUGACUCCCAGUGAAUUUUCAGGUUGUUUUACUGGAAGUCAAUCAUAAAUAUUGCAUAAAAAAUGUAAAAAAUGAUAACAAUCUAAGUUUCUCUAGUGAUGAUUAUUGAAGCUAUACAAAAACAUUAAGUAUGCUUUUAGAUUUCCAGGUUUCAGUCUCUUGUGAAAUACUUUUGCACAUCUGACAAACUUCUUGAGUGUCAAGUACAACCUCAUGUUUCUGUAUUCCUUUUCAAAAUAUCACUGUGUUGAUUAUCAGCAUGGAGUCUACAGUGCAGAAAAGAAUGAAGGGAUAGUAUGGCAGAGAACACUUUUUCAUUCUUUGAAGGAAAGAAGAAAGACAUUCUGUUAACAAUGGAUCUCUCCACACACAAGGCAAAAUGUUCUUAUACUAUUGUGGAUUCAAAAAGUUUGUGGAUUUUUCAUCACUUGCAUGAUGACUACAAUAAAUAAUCAUGGAACUGGCCCAGAAAUUUAACGUAUUUCAUUUUAGAAGCAAUUACCAAUGGAUCAUAACCAAAAAUGGCAAUAUUGCUGACAAAAGUGUAUCAGUAGUGCUUUUUGGAGGAGUGGAGAAGAAGAGGAAGUGCCCUUUCUACUUUCUUGAGAAAUGAAGGUUAAAUAAAGAUGUUGGAGGAAACAAUUUAAGUGUUAUAUAAGCUAUAUUAAUAUUUAAAUGGUACUUCUAUACUUCAAAGGGUUUUUAUCUUGUUGACUGUCACUGAACUUCCAAGAAUCUCUUUUUCAUAUAUUUAAUGUUUUGGGUGGAUGGGUAAUUUGGCAAAUCACAAGAUAUGGAUUAAGGCAAAAUCCUCACAGGGGUAUUGACAUUAAAUUAAAUACUUGGGAGUUAACAUAGGUGUCAGACAAUAAGCUGGAAACUUGUAAUAAAGAAUCAAGAUAAAAUCUUACAAAUGUUUAACAUUAUGCUUGUUCCCACAUGUAAGCAAUGUUACUGCAAUUAUUAGAAAAACUUCAGUGACUGCACCUGCAUGUUUUUUCAAAAAUGGACCUUAAUUUUUUUCAAGUUUCAGGAAGGUAGAAAAAACAACCAUAUCUACAGAAAAUUUGAAAGGGAGCUACAAAAUCUGAAAACAAAUCUAAAUAGAUGCUGGAUAUUUUUUUACUAAUUGGUGGAGUUGUUCAGCGUUGGAAAGCAUCAUUUUUUCUUAUUAAAAAUUAAUUCUAUUUAUUACUUUGAAAUAUAAAGCAAGUUAAAUGAAUAAAUAUGCAGAACUUUAAACUUUGAAUUAUUUACUAUGAGAAGUCCUUAGGAGGUACUGGAGCAGUUGCUGUUUGAAGGUUCAGUUCACUCAGAUAAUAAGAGCUUCUGGUGGUUUGGUAGAUAUUUGGAGGAAAAUAAAACUGGCAACAGGCUUGAAGAUAUUUUUCUGUCUUCAGGCUGCUAGAAAUGUGGCACAUUUAUUUAGAAAGAAGGGAGGGAUAGGGAGACAGUUUAAAAGAAAAAAAUAUAGUAGAUAAACUAAUGCUCCAUUUUCAGCAUCUCUCAGCUUGAAAUACAAUGAAGCACAUAAUGUCCCUGUAGCUACAGCAGGCUUCCUCAUAAAUACUGGUGACAUGCUGAAUCUUUUAAGAAAAGGGAUGGAAGUCAUUAGACUUCUCAUUAAUGGCAUGGCUCUUGGAUAAGAGACCUAAUGACUGCUGAAGCAUGAAAAGACACCCUAGCAACUGCUGAUCUUCUGAAGGUUUCUUCCUCCCCUGCUAUUUCCAUUGGACCUUUUCUUUAUAAACAGAGAGGAACUUGAAGUAUAAGAUGUAGACUGGUGACGUGAAAGAUGUAGGACCUAAGCUGCAGCUUCUCACUGAUAGUUUUCAGAUCUCAUUCAGUAACAUGAAGGUUUUUUUUGCGUGUGCAGUCCUAUAGAUGCUACAAAGCAUGGAAACCAGAGUGCUUUAAAAAUUGUUUCUACAGUCUUUGAUUUAAAUCAGUUUUUCUGAUGUCUGUGACAGAUGGUGAAAACUGAGAUAACACCACAACUGCGUGAGGCAGAAGUAAAUGUAAAUUUAAAAUGACUUAAAGUGCUUGCAAAGAUUAAUUACAGUAUAGAGAUAUGCAUGCCAUAGCUGGCACAGUCUCUCUAUAUCAUACGUAAGUAUAUUUGAUUAUAUAAGUUCAAAAAUAGCUUUUAUGCAGUGACUAAGAUGCCUUUUUAUUUUUGAUAUGCUUUAACUUUCAUAAAUUCCUUUGAUGUAAACCAAACUCUACUUUCUGUGUAUCAGCCGUAUGACUUAUUUGGAUAUUUUGUUGUAAAAUGUAAGAAAGAAUAUUCUGCUUCAGCUGUACUUUAACAACCUGGAUCAUUCUUUAUGUGCUUGCUUACAAAUAACAUCAAUGCCACAGCAGGAUGAAGAGUUAGUACAUUUUAGCAAGAAACAGGGACACCAUUUUCCCACUUUCUGCAUUAAAAAAAAGCAGGUAGGUUG